UGGGGAAUAUUGGACAAUGGGGGCAACCCUGAUCCAGCCAUGCCGCGUGUGUGAAGAAGGCCUUUUGGUUGUAAAGCACUUUAAGCAGUGAAGAAGACUCCAUGGUUAAUACCCAUGGACGAUGACAUUAGCUGCAGAAUAAGCACCGGCUAACUCUGUGCCAGCAGCCGCGGUAAUACAGAGGGUGCAAGCGUUAAUCGGAAUUACUGGGCGUAAAGCGAGCGUAGGUGGCUUGAUAAGUCAGAUGUGAAAGCCACGGGCGUAACCUGGGAACGGCAUCUGAUACUGUUAGGCUAGAGUAGGUGAGAGGAAGGUAGAAUUCCAGGUGUAGCGGUGAAAUGCGUAGAGAUCUGGAGGAAUACCGAUGGCGAAGGCAGCCUUCUGGCAUCAUACUGACACUGAGGUUCGAAAGCGUGGGUAGCAAACA
Molecule: ribosomal RNA, 427 nt
Filed under: uncultured bacterium
Lineage: Bacteria
Description: partial 16S ribosomal RNA
Rfam family: Bacterial small subunit ribosomal RNA
Source: RNAcentral